UACAGAGGGUGCGAGCGUUAAUCGGAAUUACUGGGCGUAAAGCGCGCGUAGGCGGCUUUGCAAGUCGGGUGUGAAAUCCCCAGGCUUAACCUGGGAACUGCAUCCGAGACUGCAUUGCUAGAGUAUGGGAGAGGGAAGUGGAAUUUCAGGUGUAGCGGUGAAAUGCGUAGAGAUGUGGAGGAACACCGGUGGCGAAGGCGGCAUCCUGGACCAUUACUGACACUGAAAAGCGAAAGCCAGGGGAGCAAACGGG
RNAcentral lists this ribosomal RNA (253 nucleotides) under uncultured bacterium. RNAcentral's name for it is "partial 16S ribosomal RNA". It matches the Rfam family "Bacterial small subunit ribosomal RNA", at positions 524 to 776 of the family's 1533-position model. The record is from RNAcentral.